Molecule: long non-coding RNA, 367 nt
Organism: Alligator sinensis (Chinese alligator)
Lineage: Eukaryota; Metazoa; Chordata; Crocodylia; Alligatoridae
Exons: 4
Source: RefSeq, a predicted model, not a curated record
AGGAGCAACUUAUUUCUUCAUUUGUUUUGGUCCUACCACCGACACGUGCUUGUGUUCCAUCCAGCACUGGCGCCCUCCACCCGCUGCCACUGCGCCUACCAUGACGAUCAGUGCGGAGUACAGUGACACCUCCAGCAUGAACACACUCCCGCUUCACUCACCACCAUGGUGUUUAGCACUGCCCAGCACAGCAGCAUCAGCAGAAUGAACCACGAUGAUUAGUCAAGGUGGACGUUGCCUGCUAGACUGUCCCCCCAGACUAUGAAGCAUCCCUGGUGAUAUAUAGAACACUAUGGACAUCAGAGAUUGAACAUUUUUAAUAUUGAUAGUAAAGAAGCCACUUCCCCCACACCAAAGUAUAUACAAG